UGAAAGACGAUCGCUUGAGUACUCCUCAAGAGGAAAGUCCGGGCAGCACAGAGCAUGAUAGUCGCUAACGGCGACCGUUCGCAAGAAUAGGGAAAGUACCACAGAGACAAUACAGCCUUUUGGCAAUGGUGAAAAGAGUGGGGUAAGAGCCCACAGCGCUUAUUGGUGACAGUAGGCGGAGGCAAACCCUAUCAGCUGCAAGGAGUGCUACGUACCUUGGCUCGAGGAUGCACGCUCACCGCUUGAACCAGUUGGCAACGGCUGGUCUAGAUAGAUGAUUGUCGACUAUAUAUUAUAUAUAGGUAUAUAGUUACAAAACCCGGCUUAAAG
Molecule: RNase P RNA, 330 nt
Filed under: bovine gut metagenome
Description: Bacterial RNase P class A
Rfam family: Bacterial RNase P class A
About the family: Ribonuclease P (RNase P) is a ubiquitous endoribonuclease, found in archaea, bacteria and eukarya as well as chloroplasts and mitochondria. Its best characterised activity is the generation of mature 5'-ends of tRNAs by cleaving the 5'-leader elements of precursor-tRNAs. Cellular RNase Ps are ribonucleoproteins.
Source: RNAcentral